GUCUCGGAGAAGAUGUGGUGGCUUCCGUUUGUUGGUGGAGGAGGUGGCAGGCCUCGGCGGGUAACCCAGAGAACACAGCCGAAGUGGAAUGUGGGGACGUCUGCGACACCGGGGACAGAGCAACUGUGGAUGAAGAGGGCUACAUCUGGUUCCUGGGGAGGAGUCAUGACACUAUCAAUGCCUCUGGGUGGUGAAGGCAUUGAUUGUCCUGACCCCACAGUUUCUGUCCCAUGACAAGGACCAGCUGACUAAGGAGCUGCAGCAGCAUGUAAAGUCAGUGACAGCCCCAUGUAAGAACUGGGAAAACUUACCUGCUUCCAAGACUCAGCUCUAGCACCUCUUCCUGCUGGGUGUUUUCCGAUGCCCCCCCUCUCGCCACCUCAUGGGGACCCCACAGUCCCCUGAAGAGCCUUCUGCCCCAGUGCCUCACCCCACUCUUUAGACCUGUUUCUGUUUCCAUGGCUGCCUUGCCUUCUUAGACCACGGGCUCCUGCAGAGCGGGACCCCAUAUCUCAGUCGGCUUUGCAUUCCCAGUGCCUGGCCGAAACUGAGGCUGGAAUGGUCUCCUAUUCCAUAAGCUCUCAAUAACCCUUGAAAAAUGACUGGAAUCCUGGACAGCGCCAAGGCAGCAACUGGGAUGGGAGAGUGAUCUGCUGCCCUCUCCUGGCAAUGUGAGGAAUUGUCCUAAGCACAGACAACUCCCUCCCUGCCUUGCACAAGUGCAGGAUGGGGGAAACUGGAAAAGGAGCUGAUGGAGGAUUGGGGAGGUGGAUGCUGUCUAAGGAGACAAACUGAAUUGAGGGGUUGCUGGGACUCGGCCGGCUCACAUGCUAUUCCCAUGUCAUGGGCCCAGGGGCCAAGUCAGUGCUUCCAAAGGAGGGUGCAUCCUGAGAGAGGCUCUGGCUCCCCCAACAAAACCCUAAACUCUUGAAGGACAUCUUCCUUCUCAGUAUACCCUAUUGCUGUGUUGUUGUAACUAUCACUGUAACUUUUAUUCACUUCAGUGGGCGAUCACUGAGUUUUUCCUCCAUUGUUGUAAAACAUGUGUUUUGCUCUUGUGUGUAAAAUGACUGUGAAUUUAGCCACUGCCUUCUCCUGAUUUUAACUCAGCUUUCUACUGCUAGGAGGUUAUCUCUGUUCUGGGUUUCUCAGCUUUCUAUCAAAACCCAAAUACUGUCAUUCCUCGGUAUCCGUAGGGGAUUGGUUCCAGGAACCUCCCUUGAAGAUACCAACAUUGCAGGUGCCCAAGCCCCUGAUAGAGAACAGCGCAGCAUUUGCAGACAACCUAUGUACACACUGCAUGCACUUUCAAUCAGCUCUAGAUUACUUCUGAUACCUAAUUCAAUGUAAAUGCUGUGUCAGUAGUUGUCUAGGGAAUAAUGACAAGAAGAAAAUUUUGUACAUGUUCAGUACGUAGGAAAAAGAAAGAGAGAUCAGACUGUCACUGUGUCUAUGUAGAAAGGGAAGACAUAAGAGAUUCCAUUUUGAAAAAGACCUGUACUUUAAACAGUUGCUUUGCUGAGAUGUUGUUAAUUUGUAGCUUUGCCCCAGCCACUUUGCCUUAGCCACUUUGACCCAACCUGGAGCUCACAAAAAUAUGUGUUGUAUAAAAUCAAGGUUUAAGGGAUCUAGGGCUGUGCAGGAUAUGCCUUGUUAACAAAAUGUUUACAAGCAGUAUACUUGGUAAAGGUCAUCGCCAUUCUCUAGUCUCAAUAAAACAGGAGCACAGUGCACUGCGGAAAGCCGCAGGGACCUCUGCCCUUGAAAGUGGGGUAUUGUCCAAGGUUUCUCCCCAUGUGAUAGUCUGAAAUAUGGCCUCGUGGGAUGAGAAAGACCUGACUGUGCCCCAGCCCGACACCCAUAAAGGGUCUGUGCUGAGGUGGAUUAGUAAAAGAGGAAAGCCUCUUGCAGUUGAGAUAGAGGAAGGCCACUGUCUCCUGCCUGCCCCUGGGAACUGAAUGUCUCGGUAUAAAACCCGAUUGUACAUUUGUUCAAUUCUGAGAUAGGAGAAAAACCGCCCUAUGGUGGGAGGCGAGACAUGUUUGCAGCAAUGCUGCCUUGUUAUUCUUUACUCCGCUGAGAUGUUUGGGUGGAGAGAAACAUAAAUCUGGCCUACAUGCACAUCCGGGCAUAGUACCUUCCCUUGAACUUAAUCAUGACACAGAUUCUUUUGCUCACAUGUUUUUUGCUGACCUUCUCCUUAUUAUCACCCUGCUGUCCUACUACAUUCCUUUUUGCUGAAAUAAUGAAAAUAAUAGUCAAUAAAAACUGAGGGAACUCAAA
This 2283-nucleotide long non-coding RNA is filed under the name Homo sapiens (human). RNAcentral describes it as "novel transcript". The record is from RNAcentral. Lineage: Eukaryota; Metazoa; Chordata; Mammalia; Primates; Hominidae.